AUACGUAGGGGGCGAGCGUUGUCCGGAAUGAUUGGGCGUAAAGGGCGCGUAGGCGGCCCGGUAGUCUGGAGUGAAAGUCCUGUUUUUAAGAUGGGAAUUGCUUUGGAUACUGUCGGGCUUGAGUGCAGGAGAGGUAAGUGGAAUUCCCAGGGUAGCGGUGAAAGGCGUAGAGAUUGGGAGGAACACCAGUGGCGAAGGCGACUUACUGGACUGUAACUGACGCUGAGGCGCGAAAGUGUGGGGAGCAAACAGGAUUAGAUACCCUGGUAGUCCACACUGUAAACGAUGAAUGCUAGGUGUAGGGGGUAUCGACCCCUUCUGUGCCGCAGUCAACACAAUAAGCAUUCCGCCUGGGGAGUACGGCCGCAAGGUUGAAACUCAAAUGAAUUGACGGGG
Molecule: ribosomal RNA, 396 nt
Filed under: uncultured bacterium
Lineage: Bacteria
Description: partial 16S ribosomal RNA
Rfam family: Bacterial small subunit ribosomal RNA
Source: RNAcentral